Molecule: ribosomal RNA, 372 nt
Filed under: Theileria annulata
Lineage: Eukaryota; Apicomplexa; Aconoidasida; Piroplasmida; Theileriidae
Description: SSU rRNA
Rfam family: Eukaryotic small subunit ribosomal RNA
Source: RNAcentral
UACACAGGGAGGUAGUGACAAGAAAUAACAAUACGGGGCUUAAAGUCUUGUAAUUGGAAUGAUGGGAAUUUAAACCUCUUCCAGAGUAUCAAUUGGAGGGCAAGUCUGGUGCCAGCAGCCGCGGUAAUUCCAGCUCCAAUAGCGUAUAUUAAAAUUGUUGCAGUUAAAAAGCUCGUAGUUGAAUUUCUGCUGCAUUGCUUGUGUCCCUCUGGGGUCUGUGCAUGUGGCUUUUUUCGGACGGAGUUUCUUUGUCUGAAUGUUUACUUUGAGAAAAUUAGAGUGCUCAAAGCAGGCUUUCGCCUUGAAUAGUUUAGCAUGGAAUAAUAAAGUAGGACUUUGGUUCUAUUUUGUUGGUUUUAGGUACCAAAGUAA